Molecule: ribosomal RNA, 253 nt
Filed under: uncultured bacterium
Lineage: Bacteria
Description: partial 16S ribosomal RNA
Rfam family: Bacterial small subunit ribosomal RNA
Source: RNAcentral
UACGGGGGGAGCAAGCGUUGUUCGGAUUUACUGGGCGUAAAGGGCGCGUAGGCGGUCCGACAAGUCAGGGGUGAAAUCCUGCAGCUUAACUGCAGAAGUGCCUUUGAUACUGUCGGUCUUGAGGGAGAUAGGGGUGUGCGGAACUCACAGUGGAGCGGUGAAAUGCGUUGAUAUUGUGAGGAACGCCGGAGGCGAAAGCGGGGCACUGGAUCUCUUCUGACGCUGAGGCGCGAAAGCUAGGGGAGCAAACGGG